CAGAGGUCUCAAGCGUUGUUCGGAUUCAUUGGGCGUAAAGGGUGCGUAGGCGGCGGGAGAAGUCUGAUGUGAAAUCCCGGGGCUCAACCCCGGAACUGCACUGGAUACUCUCUUGCUAGAGCACUGGAGAGGAGACUGGAAUUUACGGUGUAGCAGUGAAAUGCGUAGAGAUCGUAAGGAAGACCAGUGGCGAAGGCGAGUCUCUGGACAGUUGCUGACGCUGAGGCACGAAGGCCAGGGGAGCAAACGGGAUUAGAUACCCCGGUAGUCCUGGCAGUAAACGGUGCGCGUUUGGUGUGGGGGGAUUCGACCCCCUCCGUGCCGGAGCUAACGCGUUAAACGCGCCGCCUGGGGAGUACGGUCGCAAGAUUA
Molecule: ribosomal RNA, 372 nt
Filed under: uncultured organism
Description: bacterial SSU rRNA
Rfam family: Bacterial small subunit ribosomal RNA
Source: RNAcentral